CCACCUGCAGCGCCUCAACCGUCUCUUAGCUACGCUGGUUGAUGAAACUCGACGCCUUCCUGCUUCUCUUUUCAGUUCAUCUUCAUGAGACAAAGAGCCGUCAUGCUGCAGGACGAAUUCAUCUGGUUUUACUGAUCAUUUAUAAAUCCAUCAUAUCAGCUGAUGAGGACAGAGGUUAUGAUCCACCACCACAAUUUCAGAUUUUCUCUACAGACACACAGAGGACAAACGGCAGGAUGUCUGGAUUUAACUCCUCUGUGUUUUUAACGUUUGUUUUUGUGCUUUGGACGGUUCAGGUUAAACCAGAAACUGAGAUCUUCUGCAUUUUCAUGCAGCGCUGCAU
Molecule: long non-coding RNA, 343 nt
Organism: Poecilia latipinna (sailfin molly)
Lineage: Eukaryota; Metazoa; Chordata; Actinopteri; Cyprinodontiformes; Poeciliidae
Exons: 3
Source: RefSeq, a predicted model, not a curated record